Molecule: long non-coding RNA, 1039 nt
Organism: Cotesia glomerata
Lineage: Eukaryota; Metazoa; Arthropoda; Insecta; Hymenoptera; Braconidae
Exons: 3
Source: RefSeq, a predicted model, not a curated record
GAUGAAUCUUGUGUAUUUAAUACAGAUUGCGAACGACAAAAGUUUUCAGAAUGUACUGCGUCCAGUUUAUGUCAGUGCCAAUCAAAUUAUGUUAAAGUACGUCCUAGUACAUGCCGAGGAUUGAUUGGAGCGGCCUGUUCUAGAAAUUAUGAAUGUUUUCCGCAUGAUUCGAUUUGUCUUGACGGAUUUUGCAAAUGUAAAUGCAAUUAUUUAUCCACAGCCAGCGAUCUUUGUCUACCAACUUUCUUUGAGCUAACAUGUUCUGCCGGUGACGAAAGGUGCCAAGAUGAGGAAUUUUCUGGGUGCUUGAAUGGUAAAUGUUAUUGUCAUCCAAAUCAUGUUGUGGUUAGUAUGAGUUGUCAGCCGAUCUUGUAUGAAAGCUGCGCGAAAAAUGGGCUAUGUGCAAUAAGAAAUUCUAUUUGUCGUGACAAUGUGUGUCAAUGCAAAUCCGAUUAUACAGCACAAUCUGAAAAUCGCUGUUUACCAACUAAAUUAAAUGGCUACUGCCAAAUUGAUGAUGAUUGUAGAUUUUUAUAUAACUCAAAGUGUUCAAAAUAUAACUACUGUGCGUGCAUCAAUAAUUAUUUUGGGUUUAAUGAAACUACUUGCGCCCCACUUAUUGCUGCAAAGUGUGAAUCAAACGCCGACUGUAUGAUUGAAAAUUCCAUCUGUCUCAAUGGAAUUUGCAAGUGUAAGAAUUCUUACAAGAAUUUUUUCAAUGAAAAAUGUGUUACAGGUAAGUAAUGUGAUUGGGAACUACAGAGCAAUUUUUAACGCCAAAAUGUUUCAGCACUUCAUAACUUUUGUAAAAAAGACUCUGAUUGUCUUGAAUCAACAUUCACAAAAUGUUCUAAAAAUAAUAUAUGUGAAUGUGAACCAAAUUACUUUGCUUCAGAAAAAGAUAUGAUUUGUUUACCUAGCAUAUCUGGACUUUGCGACAUAGACGAUGACUGCACACUCGAAAAUUCUCACUGUUAUUACAACAGGUGUCAAUGCAAGAAAUUUUAUUUUCCUGUGGUAACCAAUGGAAUAUAUUCGU